UAGGGAAUCUUCCACAAUGGGCGAAAGCCUGAUGGAGCAACGCCGCGUGUGUGAUGAAGGCUUUCGGGUCGUAAAGCACUGUUGUAUGGGAAGAACAGCUAGAAUAGGAAAUGAUUUUAGUUUGACGGUACCAUACCAGAAAGGGACGGCUAAAUACGUGCCGA
This 164-nucleotide ribosomal RNA is filed under the name uncultured bacterium. RNAcentral describes it as "partial 16S rRNA". It matches the Rfam family "Bacterial small subunit ribosomal RNA", at positions 355 to 511 of the family's 1533-position model. The record is from RNAcentral.